AACAAAGAAUAAAAGGUCGAGCCUGCCCGGUGACUAUAUGUUUAACGGCCGCGGUAUUUUAACCGUGCAAAGGUAGCGCAAUCACUUGUCUUUUAAAUGAAGACCUGUAUGAAUGGUAUUACGAGGGCUUAACUGUCUCCUUUUUCAAGUCAGUGAAAUUGAUCUCCCCGUGCAGAAGCGGGGAUAAAACCAUAAGACGAGAAGACCCUAUGGAGCUUUAAGACACUAAGGCAAAUCAAGUUAAACACCCCUAAACAAAGGACUAAACCUAUUGAACUCUUGCCCGUAUGUCUUCGGUUGGGGCGACCAUGGGGAAACAAAAAACCCCCACGUGGAACGGGAGCACAACUACUCCUACAGCUGAGAGCUGCCGCUCUAAUAAGCAGAACUUCUGACCAAUAACUGAUCCGGCAACGCCGAUCAACGGACCAAGUUACCCUAGGGAUAACAGCGCAAUCCCCUUUUAGAGCCCCUAUCGACAAGGGGGUUUACGACCUCGAUGUUGGAUCAGGACAUCCCAAUGGUGCAGCCGCUAUUGAAGGUUCGUUUGUUCAACGAUUAAAGUCCUACGUGAUCUGAGUUCAGACCGG
Molecule: ribosomal RNA, 590 nt
Filed under: Rastrelliger brachysoma (short mackerel)
Lineage: Eukaryota; Metazoa; Chordata; Actinopteri; Scombriformes; Scombridae
Description: partial 16S ribosomal RNA
Rfam family: Bacterial large subunit ribosomal RNA
Source: RNAcentral